This 587-nucleotide ribosomal RNA is filed under the name uncultured Burkholderiales bacterium. Its description in RNAcentral is "bacterial SSU rRNA". It matches the Rfam family "Bacterial small subunit ribosomal RNA", at positions 338 to 916 of the family's 1533-position model. The record is from RNAcentral. Lineage: Bacteria; Pseudomonadati; Pseudomonadota; Betaproteobacteria; Burkholderiales.
CCUACGGGAGGCAGCAGUGGGGAAUCUUGGACAAUGGGCGCAAGCCUGAUCCAGCCAUGCCGCGUGUGUGAAGAAGGCCUUCGGGUUGUAAAGCACUUUCGGACGGAACGAAAUCGCAGGGGGUAAUAUCCUCUGUGGAUGACGGUACUGUAAGAAGAAGCACCGGCUAACUACGUGCCAGCAGCCGCGGUAAUACGUAGGGUGCGAGCGUUAAUCGGAAUUACUGGGCGUAAAGCGUGCGCAGGCGGUCUCGCAAGUCGAGUGUGAAAUCCCCGAGCUUAACUUGGGAAUUGCGCUCGAAACUAUGAGGCUAGAGUGUGGCAGAGGGAGGUGGAAUUCCACGUGUAGCGGUGAAAUGCGUAGAGAUGUGGAGGAACACCGAUGGCGAAGGCAGCCUCCUGGGCUAACACUGACGCUCAUGCACGAAAGCGUGGGGAGCAAACAGGAUUAGAUACCCUGGUAGUCCACGCCCUAAACGAUGAUGACUAGUUGUUGGGGGGGUUAAAUCCCUCAGUAACGCAGCUAACGCGUGAAGUCAUCCGCCUGGGGAGUACGGUCGCAAGAUUAAAACUCAAAGGAAUUGACGG